UGAGGAUAAAUGUGACUUUUUAUUACUCGCUUUAUAGAUCAUGGAUUAUAAUCUGACACCAAUUAAGGCUGAGGCAGCUGUUUAAUACAACUUUACUCAGUACU
Molecule: long non-coding RNA, 104 nt
Organism: Poecilia latipinna (sailfin molly)
Lineage: Eukaryota; Metazoa; Chordata; Actinopteri; Cyprinodontiformes; Poeciliidae
Exons: 3
Source: RefSeq, a predicted model, not a curated record